GCCGGUGUGGCGGAAUUGGUAGACGCAGCGGAUUCAAAAUCCGCCGCUGGAAACAGUGUGUCGGUUCGAGUCCGACCACCGGCACCA
This 87-nucleotide transfer RNA is filed under the name Halomonas cupida. Its description in RNAcentral is "tRNA-Leu". It matches the Rfam family "tRNA". From Rfam's summary of the family: Transfer RNA (tRNA) molecules are approximately 80 nucleotides in length. The record is from RNAcentral. RNAcentral also lists the same sequence under 27 other names. Lineage: Bacteria; Pseudomonadati; Pseudomonadota; Gammaproteobacteria; Oceanospirillales; Halomonadaceae.